This 1143-nucleotide long non-coding RNA is filed under the name Homo sapiens (human). RNAcentral describes it as "HSALNT0057893". The record is from RNAcentral. Lineage: Eukaryota; Metazoa; Chordata; Mammalia; Primates; Hominidae.
CGGGAAUUGAAUUUUCCAUAAGGCAUGAGCUCAAGUCAAUGUGAAAAUUCUGUUAGCUUCUGUUAGCAUCAUGUUCAACAACUGUCAGUCCUUUGGUAAGUUGCUCGUGGAAUGUCAAAACCAGACAGAGGAAAUCCUACAAAUGAACAAUGAAAUGAGCUAAGGACUACAACUGUAAGGACAAAAACAAACAAACAAGCAAAACAAAACAAAACAAAAAACAACUUGAGAAGUAUACCUUGGACUCAAGCUAAAUGACCUAAUAUAAAUUAACUCAGCCUUUUAUUCUGGGGCUUAUUGGGAAUGCAACUUGAUGAAUUCAUACAGUGCAAUUAUUUAAAACAUUGUUUUUCCACAUUACAAAGGAAAAUGUAGGUCUCUGUUCCUAUUAAAGAAAAAUGAAUGUAUACAUUAUGAUAUCAUAUGUCAAGAGAGGCAUGGAAAUAAUAUGGGAUUAUCUUUUCCAAUUAUGUGGCAGUACUUAGGUGGAUAUAAAAAGUGUCUCUUCUGGGGACAUCUGAAUGUUUUGUGGAAGGAAAAUAAAAAUCUUGGGACCCCGAACUCACUAUGUCAAAGGGAAAAGUCAAGUAUGGGAACUGAGUAGAGCAAACCUGCCUCCCAUUUUGUUCCUAAAUAGAUGACUACAGAGAUAAAAGACAACAUACCUCCCUCACAAUUAACUCACAGGGAAAUCCCUUGUGGGCUCCAUGAUCUUUACUCAAAAACAGUUCUGUUGAAUUUCACCCUUACAAUGUAAAUUAACAGCUUAUCUUCACAGGUAUAGGACAAAAGACAGAACUGGUAAUGAUUCCUUUCCACACCUAAGACAAAUGCAUAUCUGACUGCUUCUUCUACUCUAUGUUUAUCUUAUGUGAAAAACAUAUUUGCUGAGUGCGAGACAAAUCCAUAAUGAGUAUUCUACCCUGCCUUUGACAUGUAAAAUUUAUAUUCAGUGAGUGCUGAUCAAAGAUUCAAAUGAAUGCAACUCUUGCCCAUUUUAUAUACCUUCCUAUCUCUCUUUUUUUUUUUUCCUUCCUUUCUCCCCUGCUGCCUUCUCAUUCCCAUUUAAAUAUCGACAUCCCAAAACCCUCUUUGGAAAAAGUAGGGUCACAGAUGUUCCUGUGGUUUUGUGUUCCUUUUUCC